This 1108-nucleotide long non-coding RNA is filed under the name Callithrix jacchus (white-tufted-ear marmoset). RNAcentral's name for it is "lncRNA (ENSCJAG00000082818.1)". The record is from RNAcentral. Lineage: Eukaryota; Metazoa; Chordata; Mammalia; Primates; Cebidae.
CCAAAGAUAUCUCUAUACCAGCAGUAAAGCUGUGGAGGAAGGACAGAGUGAGUCACGGGAAAGAAUAUCCUAGCCACCCAGUUCAGUUUUACAAUUGUGUGGUAGGUUGGAACUCUGCACAGAGGUCAGAGUUAGAGAGAGAUGGAUUGACUGAUUUAUCUGUAUGGAAGUGAGUGGGAAGGCAGCGGCAGAUCUUCUGAGGGCAUGCUUUUCUGCUUUACAACUCACAUUUUGUUGGUGGCUGGCUGUGUCUUCGAAAACAGAUCACACCGUUCUGGGGCACAAUUGCUGUGAAUAGACUAGAAUCUGGCCUUCACAGGAUGUUUGGGCUGAUUUGAGGCAAAUGUGCUUUACAGAUCUAGAAUCUUGUACCCCACUCUGGCUGAAGCCCCAGCCUGCAAGUGCAGACUUUUUGCCUGUUUCACCUGUGACACUGUCCACCUCUGAAGACUUGCCACCCUGACCUUGGCCCUUGCUAUAUUUCUUCAGUGGUUCUGAUGAUGGAAUAAAUAGAAGUGCCUGGUGUAUACUGGAAAUGGGGGGAGUGUGUGUAUUUUCGGAUAGUAUUUUUUCUUUUUUUCAUCUCUGUUCUAACUACUUUCUCUGGGCACAGCUUUGCUGUAGUUAUAGCAAAGGCUAAACAAGGUGAACUUCAGUCUAGAAAUUUUUAGUUUUAUAAUUUUAUGAGAGAAGACUUUUUCAAAUAAUUUCCCUGCUUAUUGGUUACAUUUUAACUUGCUUUUUGGGAUCCAUGUAGUUAAUUGAUUAAUCAUCUAAUUCUUACUGGCAUGGUUAUGGAUGUUACUUACUAUCUCAAGGCUUAUUUUCCUGUAAGAGGGCAUAAAACCACAAAUUAUAGAUUUGUUCUGAGGAUUAAAUAAUUCCCAGUGCCUAGAACAUAUAUUUGAUGAAAAAAAUCAGUUCAGUUCUAUUGACGCCAGCAUUGAGAUAUGCUAAAUUCAAUGGUAAUUCUGAGUUUCAGAUUCUGAGAAUGUCUUAAGUUUACACUAACUUACAAUAGCAGCAAUUGUUGAAUGCUUACUAUGUGGAAGGCAUAGUAGGGCAUAUGUUAAAUGCAUUGUAUUAACUUGUUUAAUUCUCACUACAA